This 735-nucleotide ribosomal RNA is filed under the name uncultured Fusobacterium sp. RNAcentral describes it as "bacterial SSU rRNA". It matches the Rfam family "Bacterial small subunit ribosomal RNA", at positions 28 to 776 of the family's 1533-position model. The record is from RNAcentral. Lineage: Bacteria; Fusobacteriati; Fusobacteriota; Fusobacteriia; Fusobacteriales; Fusobacteriaceae.
GAUGAACGCUGACAGAAUGCUUAACACAUGCAAGUCUACUUGAAUUUGGGUUUUUAACUUAGGUUUGGGUGGCGGACGGGUGAGUAACGCGUAAAGAACUUGCCUCACAGCUAGGGACAACAUUUAGAAAUGAAUGCUAAUACCUAAUAUUAUGAUAAUAGGGCAUCCCAUAAUUAUGAAAGCUAUAUGCGCUGUGAGAGAGCUUUGCGUCCCAUUAGCUAGUUGGAGAGGUAACGGCUCACCAAGGCGAUGAUGGGUAGCCGGCCUGAGAGGGUGAUCGGCCACAAGGGGACUGAGACACGGCCCUUACUCCUACGGGAGGCAGCAGUGGGGAAUAUUGGACAAUGGACCGAGAGUCUGAUCCAGCAAUUCUGUGUGCACGAUGAAGUUUUUCGGAAUGUAAAGUGCUUUCAGUUGGGAAGAAAGAAAUGACGGUAUCAACAGAAGAAGUGACGGCUAAAUACGUGCCAGCAGCCGCGGUAAUACGUAUGUCACGAGCGUUAUCCGGAUUUAUUGGGCGUAAAGCGCGUCUAGGUGGUUAUAUAAGUCUGAUGUGAAAAUGCAGGGCUCAACUCUGUAUUGCGUUGGAAACUGUAUAACUAGAGUACUGGAGAGGUAAGCGGAACUACAAGUGUAGAGGUGAAAUUCGUAGAUAUUUGUAGGAAUGCCGAUGGGGAAGCCAGCUUACUGGACAGAUACUGACGCUGAAGCGCGAAAGCGUGGGUAGCAAACAGG